Molecule: ribosomal RNA, 212 nt
Filed under: Candidatus Bacteroides intestinipullorum
Lineage: Bacteria; Pseudomonadati; Bacteroidota; Bacteroidia; Bacteroidales; Bacteroidaceae
Description: partial 23S ribosomal RNA
Rfam family: Bacterial large subunit ribosomal RNA
Source: RNAcentral
GACUGACCUCUGGUCUGCCGGUUGUGCCGCCAGGUGCAUUGCCGGGUAUCCAAGUCGGGAUCGGAUAAGUGCUGAAAGCAUCUAAGCACGAAGCCGGCCACAAGAUUAGAUUUCCUCGAGGGCCGUCGCAGACGACGACGUCGAUAGGAUGCAGGUGUAAAGGCGGCGACGCCAAAGCCGAGCAUUACUAAUUGCCCGAACCUUUUUUGCAG